UACGUAGGGCGCAAGCGUUGUCCGGAAUUAUUGGGCGUAAAGAGCUCGUAGGCGGUCUGUUGCGUCCGCUGUGAAAACUCGGGGCUUAACCCCGAGCCUGCAGUGGAUACGGGCAGACUAGAGGUAGGUAGGGGAGAAUGGAAUUCCCGGUGUAGCGGUGAAAUGCGCAGAUAUCGGGAGGAACACCGGUGGCGAAGGCGGUUCUCUGGGACGGUAUUGACGCUGAGACGCGAAAGCGUGGGGAGCGAACAGG
RNAcentral lists this ribosomal RNA (253 nucleotides) under uncultured bacterium. RNAcentral's name for it is "partial 16S ribosomal RNA". It matches the Rfam family "Bacterial small subunit ribosomal RNA", at positions 524 to 776 of the family's 1533-position model. The record is from RNAcentral.